GAUUUUAAUGAUCGAACAGAUCAAAAUUUUAAACUUUUGCAUUUAAAUUUUAUCUUAAUCCAACAUCGAGGUCGCAAACUUUUUUUUUUAUUUGAACUAAAAAAAAAUAUUACGCUGUUAUCCCUAAGGUAAUUUUUUCUUAUAAUCAUUAUUAAUGGAUCAUUUAAUCAUUUAUUUAUGUUUAAUUUUUAAAAAAAGUUAAUUUAAUUUUUCUAUCACCCCAAUAUAAUAAUUAAUUUUAUUUUAAUAAAAAUUUUUAUAUAAUUUUAAAAUAAAAAUAAAUAUAAAACUCUAUAGGGUCUUCUCGUCUUUUAAAAUUAAUUUAGCUUUUUAACUAAAAAAUAAACUUCUAAAAAUAAAUAAGAGACAGUUUAUAUUUCAUCAAAUCUUUCAUACAAGUUUUCAAUUAAAAAACUAUUGAUUAUGCUACCUUUGUACAGUCAUUAUACUGCAGCCCUUUAAUUAUUAUCAGUGGGCAGAUUAGACCUUAAAUUAUAUUCAA
Molecule: ribosomal RNA, 502 nt
Filed under: Oeneis melissa
Lineage: Eukaryota; Metazoa; Arthropoda; Insecta; Lepidoptera; Nymphalidae
Description: partial 16S rRNA
Source: RNAcentral